RNAcentral lists this ribosomal RNA (493 nucleotides) under uncultured bacterium. Its description in RNAcentral is "partial 16S ribosomal RNA". It matches the Rfam family "Bacterial small subunit ribosomal RNA", at positions 29 to 507 of the family's 1533-position model. The record is from RNAcentral.
ACGAACGCUGGCGGCGUGCUUCACCCCUGCAAGUCGCACGGUGAAGCGCCUUCCUUUUUGGUGGGUGUGGAUGAGUGGCGAACGGGUGAGUAACACGUGAGUAACCUGCCCCCUUCUUCUGGAUAACCGCAUGAAAGUGUGGCUAAUACGGGAUAUUCUGGGUCUGUCGCAUGAUGGGUCUGGGAAAGAUAUUGUUUCGGUGGGGGAUGGGCUCGCGGCCUAUCAGCUUGUUGGUGGGGUGAUGGCCUACCAAGGCGGUGACGGGUAGCCGGCCUGAGAGGGUGGAUGGUCAGACUGGGACUGAGACACGGCCCAGACUCCGACGGGAGGCAGCAGUGGGGAAUAGUGCACAAUGGGCGCAAGCCUGAUGCAGCGACGCCGCGUGAGGGAUGGAGGCCUUCGGGUUGUGAACCUCUUUCGCCAGUGAAGCAGGCCUGCCUCGUUUGUGGGUGGGUUGACGGUAGCUGGAGAAGAAGCGCCGGCUAACUACGUG